GUGCUUGCUCUGGAAGCACAUACACUAAAAUUCGAACAAUACAGAGAAGAUUAGCAUGGCCCCUGCACAAGGGUGACACACGAAUUGGUGAAAUGUUCCAUAUUAAA
Molecule: small nuclear RNA, 107 nt
Organism: Manis pentadactyla (Chinese pangolin)
Lineage: Eukaryota; Metazoa; Chordata; Mammalia; Pholidota; Manidae
Source: RefSeq, a predicted model, not a curated record